Molecule: long non-coding RNA, 1320 nt
Filed under: Homo sapiens (human)
Lineage: Eukaryota; Metazoa; Chordata; Mammalia; Primates; Hominidae
Description: non-protein coding LINC00343:17
Source: RNAcentral
AGAGUUCUAAAGAAAUAGAAGCUUGAAGUAUCAUCUCUCAAGUAUAUAGACACUACUUCAUGGUGUGGUAAUAUAUGCAUAUAGAAGCUAGUAAACACCUCCAGGAGAUGCAAAAGGAAUUAGAACUGCCACAAGGUGCAAGCAAAACCUUGAGGUAAUCAAUCUGCAUCCCAUUUUGGAUGAGAAUAUUUGCAACUUUGAAGGUUAUUUUAAGGACAGCAGCAGAAGAAUUAUGGCAGCUCUUCACGGAAAAAAAAAUGGCAACAAUAAAAUCAGCAACUCCUGCCAAAUAAAUGGGCAUAAAAAAGAAAUCAUAGACUGCUGGCAAUGGUGGGGAAAAAGUUAUAAAAAUUGUCUCUGCACCAUCUUCCUUUUGUCCUCUAAAAUAUUCACAUUAGCAAAAGUAUAUAACAGCUGAUGAAGAAAUACUGAUAAUUUGUCUUUUUCUGUUUUUCCUCUUCUAAUCCUUCACCCAUCUGAGCUAAAGUCUAGACCUAAGGAGGCUACUAAUUCAGGGAUCGAGUAAUCUGCCAAGCAAGAGUUUAUUCAAGCACAGUUUGAAAUAAAGGUUUCAAAUGCAUAGCCUGUCGAUACUUUGGAAGGAUUCUCAUCAUAACGAGAUAUGGGAGGACACCUGAGACGGCAGGCCAGAAGUCACUCAGUAGGAGAAACAUCCGUUAGAAGUAAUAAUGUGGGAUUGCUGAAGUAAAGACUAUAGGAAGAAAAAAGUGUCUGUGUGUAGGAAACGGAAAGGGAGAGAAAAAUACACUGAGAUGGUAAAGUAAGGAAGUGGAAGAUCAGCAGAAUGUGCAGAUGCCAAGCCAUCCAAGAAAAUCAUCUCUUGUGAUUGUUGCGAAGUCAACUAGCUAAUGUGACUCACUGCUAGGCUGUUGGAUCUGAGACUUAUGUGGGAUAAUUUAGAAACUUGCUAGUGUCUUAAGAUCAAUUACUCACCAAUGAGAGUGGCAUUGAACUGUGAAUGUUCCUCCUAGAUUUUCCAUGAAGACUAAUGGUUUUGUCUUGUCUUGAAUUUGUUUUAAUUACAAUUUGUAUACAUCCUGUUCCACCCUGAAAUUUUUAUUUUCCAAAUGGUUUUUCAUUUAAAGAGACUAAAUAAAGGUUCUGACUGAGUUGUACUUGUGGGAACUCCAAAAUCUUUUUAUAGGAAGCUAUUUUCAUCAAAUAGUGUUGAGAAUCAAGUUUCCAGUUGGAGAAAAUAACAGAGACAUGCAAAUUCAGGAUGUAGCUGUACAGCAAUGUUAGUGAAGAGAGAAAAUUUUGAGUCAUUUAGACAUUAACCAUUAAGCAUCUGGAUUUUUU